UACGAAGGGGGCUAGCGUUGUUCGGAAUUACUGGGCGUAAAGCGCACGUAGGCGGACUACUAAGUCAGGGGUGAAAUCCCGGGGCUCAACCCCGGAACUGCCUUUGAUACUGGUAGUCUCGAGUCCGGAAGAGGUGAGUGGAAUUCCGAGUGUAGAGGUGAAAUUCGUAGAUAUUCGGAGGAACACCAGUGGCGAAGGCGGCUCACUGGUCCGGUACUGACGCUGAGGUGCGAAAGCGUGGGGAGCGAACAGG
Molecule: ribosomal RNA, 253 nt
Filed under: uncultured bacterium
Lineage: Bacteria
Description: partial 16S ribosomal RNA
Rfam family: Bacterial small subunit ribosomal RNA
Source: RNAcentral